This 242-nucleotide unclassified non-coding RNA is filed under the name Hevea brasiliensis (rubber tree). The record is from RNAcentral. Lineage: Eukaryota; Viridiplantae; Streptophyta; Magnoliopsida; Malpighiales; Euphorbiaceae.
GAAGCAUGCAAGGGCUUAUUGAGAAGUACAUGAAGGUCACCGGAGGAUCACUGGAGCCUGAUGAGCAAGCCAAAGAGUCGACACAGCCUCUAGAUGCAAAAGAGGAGAUCAACAUGUUGAAGAAAGAGAUUGAGAUACUCCAAAAAGGACUCAGGUACUUGGUUGGAGGGGGAGCUGCCCAUGCUCAAAUGACAAUGGAUGAAUUACUCAUUCUUGAGAAAAAUCUUGAAAUUUGGAUUUGC